CAGCCGCCGCGGUAAUACCAGCCCCGCGAGUGGUCGGGACGGUUAUUGGGCCUAAAGCGCCCGUAGCCGGCCCGGCAAGUCCCUCCUUAAAGCCUCGGGCCCAACCCGAGGACGGGGGGGAUACUGCCGGGCUAGGGGGCGGGAGAGGCCGGCGGUACUCCCGGGGUAGGGGCGAAAUCCGUUAAUCCCGGGAGGACCACCAGUGGCGAAGGCGGCCGGCUGGAACGCGCCCGACGGUGAGGGGCGAAAGCCGGGGGAGCGAACCGGAUUAGAUACCCGGGUAGUCCCGGCUGUAAACGAUGCGGGCUAGCUGUUGGGCGGGCUUAGAGCCCGCCCAGUGGCGCAGGGAGGCCGUUAAGUCCGCCGCCUGGGGAGUACGGCCGCAAGGCUGAAACUUAAAGGAAUUGGCGGG
Molecule: ribosomal RNA, 412 nt
Filed under: uncultured microorganism
Description: bacterial SSU rRNA
Rfam family: Archaeal small subunit ribosomal RNA
Source: RNAcentral